CACCAGAAUAAAGGUGAGUACUCAUAGAGCAAGUCGAUUAGAGUAACACAAAGACCCUCUCUUUCGUGACGUGGGGAUACUUUAUGGUGAGCGGAUUUGCUGACUGUUAUGUUUUUAAUCACAUAUUUGGAUUUCAUGCAGUAAAAUGCUCAUAACUCCGGCAGUCGGGAAUGAAUCGAAAGGAAAUAGAUACAGUAGUUGCUUUGACAGUGGAAUAUCUGCGUGCACGCUGCAUCUCUUUUAACCAGUAAAAGCUCACUUAACAUAUUAAAGAUCUUUUGACGGAUAUAUAAGGCUUGGAAAUUCCGGCCAUGGAGAAGAUGGAAACUGGAGGAGAGCCUAGGGUGAUAACGUCGCCGUCUCGGACGUACUUCAUAGUUGGUACUUUGCUUCUGAUUGUUGGCGUAGUGGCAUUGAUCUCCUGGUGCGCCUGGGGUAAUCCACAGACAAUCUCAGGAAUCCCAAACAGCCAUGGAGUUGUGUUCGACGCGGGCUCUACGGGAACCCGGAUGUAUGUUUACAGUUGGCCUGGCGGAAAAGUAAACGGCACAGGAAUAGUGAAGGAAACCGCCAAAUGUAGUGAUGGAGUAG
Molecule: long non-coding RNA, 591 nt
Organism: Anneissia japonica
Lineage: Eukaryota; Metazoa; Echinodermata; Crinoidea; Comatulida; Comatulidae
Exons: 3
Source: RefSeq, a predicted model, not a curated record